GACGAACGCUGGCGGCGUGCUUAACUCAUGCAAGUCGAACGGAAAGGCCCUGCUUUUGUGGGGUGCUCGAGUGGCGAACGGGUGAGUAACACGUGAGUAACCUGCCCUUGACUUUGGGAUAACUUCAGGAAACUGGGGCUAAUACCGGAUAGGAGCUCCUGCUGCAUGGUGGGGGUUGGAAAGUUUCGGCGGUUGGGGAUGGACUCGCGGCUUAUCAGCUUGUUGGUGGGGUAGUGGCUUACCAAGGCUUUGACGGGUAGCCGGCCUGAGAGGGUGACCGGCCACAUUGGGACUGAGAUACGGACCAGACUCCUACGGGAGGCAGCGGUGGGGAAUAUUGCACAAUGGGCGGAAGCCUGAUGCAGCGACGCCGCGUGCGGGAUGACGGCCUUCGGGUUGUAAACCGCUUUCGCCUGUGACGAAGCGUGAGUGACGGUAAUGGGUAAAGAAGCACCGGCUAACUACGUG
RNAcentral lists this ribosomal RNA (468 nucleotides) under uncultured bacterium. RNAcentral describes it as "partial 16S ribosomal RNA". It matches the Rfam family "Bacterial small subunit ribosomal RNA", at positions 28 to 507 of the family's 1533-position model. The record is from RNAcentral.